AGCUCCAAUAGCGUAUAUUAAAGUUGUUGCGGUUAAAAGCUCGUAGUUGGAAUUCUGUCGAAAUAGGCCGGUCCUUGCUUUGCGAGUGCAUCUGGUAGGGUUUCGGCAUCCUCGCGGGGUUUGUCACUGCGCUUGAUUGCGUGGGGCGUAGCUCGCGGCUUUUACUUUGAGGAAAUUAGAGUGUUCACGGCAGGCAAGGGUCUUGAAUAUAUUAGCAUGGAAUAAUGAUAUAGGGCAAUGAUUCUUUUUGUUGGUUCCUAGAAUUGUAGUUACGGUUAAUAGGAACAACUGGGGGCAUUUGUAUUAACGCGUCAGAGGUGGAAUUCUUGGAUUGCGUUACGACAAACUACUGCGAAAGCAUUUGCCAAGGAUGUUUUCU
This 379-nucleotide ribosomal RNA is filed under the name uncultured eukaryote. RNAcentral's name for it is "SSU rRNA". It matches the Rfam family "Eukaryotic small subunit ribosomal RNA", at positions 587 to 972 of the family's 1831-position model. The record is from RNAcentral.